UUAGGAAUAUUCGUCAAUGGGGGAAACCCUGAACGAGCAAUGCCGCGUGAGUGAUGAAGGCCCUUCGGGUUGUAAAACUCUGUUGUUUGGAAAGAACUGUAAGAUUAGGAAAUGAAUCUUACUUGACGGUACCAUUCAAGAAAGCCACGGCUAACUACGUGCCAGCAGCCGCGGUAAUACGUAGGUGGCGAGCGUUAUCCGGAUUUAUUGGGCGUAAAGCGUGCGCAGGCGGUUUGUUAAGUCUAAAAUCAAAGCCCGAAGCUUAACUUCGGUUCGUUUUAGAAACUGGCAGGCUUGAGUAUGGUAGAGGCAAACGGAAUUUCUAGUGUAGCGGUAAAAUGCGUAGAUAUUAGAAGGAACACCAGUGGCGAAGGCGGUUUGCUGGGCCAUUACUGACGCUCAUGCACGAAAGCGUGGGGAGCAAAUAGG
This 429-nucleotide ribosomal RNA is filed under the name uncultured bacterium. RNAcentral's name for it is "bacterial SSU rRNA". It matches the Rfam family "Bacterial small subunit ribosomal RNA", at positions 355 to 776 of the family's 1533-position model. The record is from RNAcentral.